GGAGCGCUGACGUCACUGGCGUGUCGUACAUGUGGGUUUGACAUUCGGUAGACUAUGCUGAUCACUGAUCACGGCCCCCGCUCAAAGGAGAUUCCCAAUAGUUAAGAGCAAUACAGAGGGGUUUUCCUCGGAAGCAAUAUCAUCCCACGCAAUUAGGAGCCGAGAUUCCUGCAAAACAAUCCCACAUCAGCUCGUAAUCCAUCUAGAAUCGUCGUGUAUAGCAGCAGCAGGAGCCAUGUCUGUAGCUGGGUUUAAGAAACAGUUCCACAAAGCUACUCAGAGGGUGAGUGAGAAGGUUGGGGGAGCAGAGGGGACUAAACAUGAUGAUGACUUCACUGAAAUGGAGAAGAAGGUGGACACCACCAGUAGGGCGGUGAUGGACAUUAUGACCAAGACAACUGAGUAUCUGCAGCCCAACCCAGCCUCCAGAGCCAAGAUGACCAUGAUCAACUCCAUGUCUAAGAUGCGUGGCCAGGAGAAGGGUCUGGGCUACAUCCAGACCGAGACCGUCCUGGGAGAGUCCAUGCAGAAGUUUGGCAGGGAGCUCGGAGAAGAGUCCAACUUUGGCCUGGCUCUGAUCGAUGCUGGGGAGUCCAUGCGUGAGCUGGGGGAGGUGAAGGACGCUCUCGACAUGGAGGUCAAGCAGAACUUCCUGGACCCGCUGCAGACCCUCCACGACAAAGACCUCAAGGAGAUUGCACAUCACCUGAAGAAACUGGAAGGCCGCCGUCUGGACUUCGACUACAAGAAGAAGCGUCAGGGCAAGGUGACAGACGACGAGAUCAAACAGGCUCUGGAGAAGUUUGACGAUACCAAGGAGAUCGCUGAGCUCAGCAUGUUCAACCUGUUGGAGAGUGAUAUUGAACAGGUGAGCCAGCUAGCCGCACUGGUCCAAGCCCAGGUGGAGUACCAUCGUCAGUGUGCUGAGAUCCUCACCCAGCUGCAGUCCAAGAUGGAGGACCGGAUAAGGGAUUCCUCCAACAAGCCCAAGAAAGAGUUCAUACCUAAGCCGCGUCAGUCCUUGGACCUCUCUAGUGAAAACCACAAUGGAGCCAUCCAAGGAUCCAGGUCCCCAGCAACAAGGUCUCCAGCAAGGUCUCCAGCAAGGUCUCCAGGUGAGCCUAGAGUGAAUUCUGGAGAGAUACGACAGAAUAUCUCUACUUUAUCACUCUGUCUGUGUGUCCAUAUGAAUGGUCUGUCUCUUGCUCUUUCUUGGACUGUCUUUCUGGCUCCAGUCUGUUUCCUGAUUUCUCUCCUGUCUCUCUCUCUCUCUGUUUGUAUUCCAAGGUUUUGUUGUCAGUAUUCCGGUCUUUGUUUCUCUCUAUCUGCCUUUCUGUCUGUGCGUUUGUCUUUUCGAUUUGUUUAUCAAUCAAUCGACAACACAAAGCAACAUUUGUACGUCUUUCUCUCCUCUGAUUGGCCUUGUCUCCCUUUGUCUGUCUUUCUGUCUGUUAGUGUUGCACGAUAUACCGAAACUUCAAUACUUUAUCCAUACUAGAACAUGAAAAACGGUUCGAUAUUUGCAUAGAAGUGGCUUCUUUAAUAAAAUGUGCUCUCUCUCUUUAACCAGUAAUGAUGUCAUUCACGAGGCAAAAAAAACAAAGUCAAAUUGAUUGUAUAAUUGAUCCAUUAUUGGAUACAUAGCUGUCUCUGAAAAUUGUUAACAUAAUUAAAAAAGUUAGAAUGUAAGGAUAUUGAACUCAAAAGAUGCCCAACAAUUGAACAGAUCAGUAGCUACGUUUAUCUGUCUGGAUCAAGUGCCAUUCUGUGGCUUUGGCUAAUAUGCCUUCUUUUUUUGCCAUGGUAUCAUUUUGAUAUCGAGUAUUGUGAUGGUAUUGAGUUUUCAUGAUACAGUACUAAACCUGGUAUCGAUGUCAAAAUUCUGGUAUCGUGACGACACCACUGUCUGUUCAAUAUGUCUAUCAAUCGAUCACCUUAAUACACAUUCAUUUUUAUGCAUUCCUCUCUUCUUUACCUUGUCUCCCCCUCCCUCUCUUUCUUCCUCCUCCGUCUGUCCUCCAUCCCCCCUUUCAGCAAGGUCUCCAGCUCCCCUAGACCAGCCAUCCUGCAGGGCGCUGUAUGACUUCGACCCCGAGAACGAGGGCGAGCUGGGCUUCAAGGAGGGGGACAUCAUCACUCUCACCAACAAGAUCGACGACAACUGGUACGAGGGCAUGAUCCACGGCAGCUCUGGAUUCUUCCCCGUCAACUACGUGGAUAUCCUGGUGCCUCUGCCCUAAAGUCUUUGCCACGGCAACAGCAAAUCAGCAACAGCAGUUUUCCCAGGCGACAAAUCUUAAUCCCUGCAUCCCCAGCUCCCGCCACCCCCAAACAUUCCCAGAAACCCUCCUUUUCACUCCGCUAAAAAGGAGAUCUAACUACAAUGAAGAUAUGACAACGAAAUCGGCUGUGGCGAGAUCAACAACAGCAUGGUGUCACGCCAACGAGUGCUAAUGAAACAGACUUUUGAAAAAAAAAUACGAAAAAUAAGCAAUGAUGACAUUUUGAAUGCCAUCGUGGACAUUUACCAUCAAACCAAUAAAAUGCUAUGGUUGUUUUUUCUUGUUUCCAAAAAGAGUGUUUCUCGGUUUUGUCCUCAAGUUUUUUUUCCUUCAGGAGCUUCUACAGUUCCUCAAUCCUCGUCUUUCCUGGCUUCAUCUAGGUUUACAUUGGCUGUGUGUCUUUCAAAAUGGCCGUUACUAUCCUUCUCUGUACUCUGUGGAAACUUCUAGACUAGCAUAAUUUCAUCAUCGUCACAUAUUGUAGGCUACUAUUUCUGGGCGGUUAUCUGGUCCGUUAGAUCACGUUUAGGUCAUGUUUCACACUUUGUUAGACACUGUAGGUCAGGCAUGUUUUAGUGUUUUAUCUUAUCAGAUUUACUUCUUCUAAGUACGUUCAAGCUAAAUAUAUGUUUUUCCCGUUUGAAAAGGGUAGCCUUCUGUUUGCAUGCAUGGAUUGUUUCCUAGAGAGACCGUGUCCAUUUCAUGCUAAACAACAGAUGUAUGUUUAUGACGGAGGGGAUAUCGUUUGAUGUGUCUUUUCAUACAGACCUAAACUGAGAGUGAGGUAUGUAAGGAUUCAGUGUGAUUUAAUCAAGGCACCAUAGUUAGACCAAACUGGCCACCUAUGCAGGAGGGUAGGCCUACAGCAGGGCUGAGUGGUGUCAAUGGCAGAUCUACUCGCUUUUCUAACCGAGGGUGUAGUUCGUUUGCGAUCUACAUUGUUUUGUUGGCAUUCUAUAUCACACAAGUCCUCUGUGUGAUUUAGGUAUGCCCCAUGAUUACAUCUAGUGUAUUUGAGUCAAUGGUUAUAAAUUGGCGAUGAAUAUUUACGGAAACAAAAGACUAAAUUGUGUAGUUCAAUUGUUUUCUAAGUGGCGUAUAAGCAAAAACUGGAACUGUUUCCAUAAUAUGAAAUAAUGUUUAAAAAAUCUUCUCAGUGUGUAUUUUACCAAUGACGUGGAAAUAUUUGUGAAAAUGGUUGCUGUAUUGUGCUAUUUCAUAUAGGAGUUUACCGCUUAUCGGAUUUAGCCUUAUUUUCUUCAACCGUUGGCGAAGUUGUUUUCACUGUAUCAGAAUGUCCUUUAGUCAGAUAAACAAAUAACACUAUAUUGAAGACUAUACGUCAUGGAAUCUGAUAGGACUAGCUUUAGCUGAUCAUGCUCACAGACAAAUACUGCAUUACGAGGCCAAUAGAAUACACAAGCAAUGCUGUCUCAAUCAGAAAAGGGAACAUUUUAUAAAAAGUGAACACGGUACCAUAUUUAAUUCAAGGAUACUAACAUCAAUAACCAGAUGCAAAUCCCCCUACCCCUCUUUGUAUCUUACACUUUGUCUAAAUGUUGUCAGGCAAUCUAGGCAACUUCUCUCUGUCAGGAGUCUCGGUCUGAAAUAACCCAUUCAUACGGUAUGUGUUGCUCUUACUGGUCCAUACUGUAUUUCUGUUUACUGAAGGUUCUGGGGAUCCUUAGUCCCUGUCCCUUGUUGAUUGUCUUUCCCUUGUCAUAUCCCAGGAAUGAAUGGCCGCACAUUUAACAAUACACAAUAUAAGGUACCAAAGCAACAGACUGUUGCAUAUAACAAUAAUCAUCAUUUGGUGGGAACAAGUGUGUAUUAAAAUGCAUGUGUGAGUUGGAAAUGUGUUUUUUGCAUAUCCCACUCUCCCUGAAACGCCCUGGGAGAGUGGGGUCACGGCCAGAGUCUACUAAAGCAAUUGGAUACUACUGUACACUCCAAACUCUGGCCUCUGGAUCUAUCUAGGUUUUCUCCAGCAUUUUGAGGACUUCAUUCUCAAUGGUUUUCCCUUCUGCAAAUCCAAUGUGAAACUGUAUGUGUGUAACAGACAGGGCAAUAAGUGUUUCACCCAUUUAUCAUUGUUGUGUGACUGGGUGGGUGUGGUUUGGUUGUGCCGAGGUUGGUAUGUGUUUUGUGAAGGGAGAAGGGGUUGUAUGCGCCACAGGUGGUUUGGUCUACUGUGGUUUGUAUCUAUGAAGUGUACAUUUUCUAUUUUUUCUGUCAGUAUUAUUUUUCCUUCAUUGAAAUCCUCCUGGAUGUCUAUUUGAUAAAGGACCGAUACAGUAUAGCGCAAUGAUACUAUUGAUGAAGCUGAACCGACCGAAAACCCAUCUAUAGCGUUCAUUUUUUUUUAAAGGGAAGCGCAACUUGAAACGGUCUCGUUUGUUGGCAGAAUAAGCAGAUUCAGAUUGGAACUGGCUGUGCGUUCAAGUUUUUUUAAAGGCUAUAUAUUUCCUUAAUUUUCUUUUCUCUAUCUUUUUUUAAACAAUUAUCGUGUGUAUCUUUGCCCUCAAUGAGGACUGUACAGCUUUUCAGUGAUUUGUUUUCACCGUGUGUGUGUGUGUGUGUGUAGUAGCGCAUCUACGGUAUCGUAUUUUAUUUUUGUAACUGUGAUAAAGUAUAUGCAUAUAUAUACAGUAAUUAUAUAGAACUAUUGUGAUUCGAGGGAUUGUUUGUGCUGCACACAAUUGUCGUUUUUGGAUUCUUUGUUUGUUUUGGUUUCAUCCCUUGCACCGGAUUACAAGACAAUAUGCUUGAUGUUAAAAAUGACUAAAAUAUCUCAAUGUAAUUUAUUCAAAUAAACAACAAGGUUAGAGUU
This is an RNA transcript of Oncorhynchus kisutch (coho salmon), 5112 nucleotides long. It is a transcript of the gene named endophilin-A1, with no coding region annotated. NCBI's taxonomy places the organism in Eukaryota, Metazoa, Chordata, Actinopteri, Salmoniformes, Salmonidae. The record is from RefSeq and is a predicted model, not a curated record. The transcript is spliced from 12 exons.